RNAcentral lists this ribosomal RNA (495 nucleotides) under Triticum aestivum (bread wheat). RNAcentral describes it as "partial small subunit ribosomal RNA". The record is from RNAcentral. Lineage: Eukaryota; Viridiplantae; Streptophyta; Magnoliopsida; Poales; Poaceae.
AUGCUCGAGGAAUUCUGCCAGAACUUCGAAGAGGAGACCAGUCGAGUGGAGACAGACUUGGACCCCAUCAAUUCUCCAGUGAAGGACGAGGCUGCUAUGAACGUGCUCCGACUGGAAUCUCGUGUUGCCGGCGUUGUUGACUAUCUUGCUCGGUUGAAGGUUGCGAUGUCAUGGAUCGACACAUUGCUCUGGCCUAGGACGACGCUUCAGAAUGACCUCGAGUCCCUGAUGACUCGACUGAAAGAAGUCCCAGGUCGAGUGGCGGAAUGGAAGAAAUCUUCUGCUAGAUGUGGCGCUGACGUCGCUCUAUCUCUGGUCCGCGUCCACUGCAAGGAGGCGCGAGAAGAAAAGUUGGCUGCCAUCCAAGUUGCCAAUAGCAGGAAGCACAACUUUCAAGACUUCAUGGAGACUUUCAUUGCUGCUGCCACUCGCAUUGCAGACGGGAUCGACUCGGACGAGUUCGUCGCCCCUUCCAGUCCUCCGCAUGAGGAAUAA